RNAcentral lists this ribosomal RNA (406 nucleotides) under uncultured bacterium. RNAcentral describes it as "partial 16S ribosomal RNA". It matches the Rfam family "Bacterial small subunit ribosomal RNA", at positions 30 to 526 of the family's 1533-position model. The record is from RNAcentral.
AUUGAACGCUGGCGGCAGGCCUAACACAUGCAAGUCGAGCGAGCGGCGGACGGGUGAGUAAUGUAUGGGGAACUGCCUGAUGGAGGGGGAUAACUACUGGAAACGGUAGCUAAUACCGCAUACCAUCAGAUGAACCCAUAUGGGAUUAGCUUGUAGGUAAGGUACCGGCUUACCUAGGCUACGAUCCCUAGCUGGUCUGAGAGGAUGAACAGCCACACUGGAACUGAGACACGGUCCAGACUCCUACGGGAGGAAGCAGUGGGGAAUAUUGCACAAUGGGCGCAAGCCUGAUGCAGCCAUGCCGCGUGUAUGAAGAAGGCCUUCGGGUUGUAAAGUACUUUCAGUGAGGAGGCGUUACCGGCAGAAGAAGCACCGGCUAACUCCGUGCCAGCAGCCGCGGUAAUUC